CGGGGAUCCGGCCUGAGAGGGUGAACGGACACACUGGAACUGAGACACGGUCCAGACUCCUACGGGAGGCAGCAGUAGGGAAUAUUGCAUCAAUGGGGGAAACCCUGAAGCAGCAACGCCGCGUGGAGGAUGAAGGUUUUAGGAUUGUAAACUCCUUUUGUUAGAGAAGAUAAUGACGGUAUCUAACGAAUAAGCACCGGCUAACUCCGUGCCAGCAGCCGCGGUAAUACGGAGGGUGCAAGCGUUACUCGGAAUCACUGGGCGUAAAGAGCGCGUAGGCGGGAUAGUCAGUCAGGUGUGAAAUCCUAUGGCUUAACCAUAGAACUGCAUUUGAAACUACUAUUCUAGAGUGUGGGAGAGGUAGGUGGAAUUCUUGGUGUAGGGGUAAAAUU
This 392-nucleotide ribosomal RNA is filed under the name Helicobacter pylori. RNAcentral describes it as "bacterial SSU rRNA". It matches the Rfam family "Bacterial small subunit ribosomal RNA", at positions 280 to 688 of the family's 1533-position model. Lineage: Bacteria; Pseudomonadati; Campylobacterota; Epsilonproteobacteria; Campylobacterales; Helicobacteraceae. The record is from RNAcentral.